ACCGACAUCCACGACUACGAAGUCAAAAUGCGGUCGGUCUUCAAGUUUCUUGAAAAUGGCGACAAGUGCAAGAUCACCCUGCGCUUCCGUGGCCGCGAGAUGGCGCACCAGAAUCUGGGCCGCGAAUUGCUCGAGCGCGUGGCCGAGGACGUGAAAGAAGUGGGCAAGAUCGAAAACAUGCCCAAGAUGGAAGGCCGCCAGAUGAUCAUGAUGAUCGGCCCGAUAUCGAAAUAAGCCGGACCUGAUCCGGUUGGUUCAAGGGGUGCGCCACGGCGCGCCCCUUUUGUUUUGCGCCUCUCUUAGGAUGCGGGAUCGGCCCUGACAUCGAAUUUCCCGA
This 337-nucleotide unclassified non-coding RNA is filed under the name Puniceibacterium sediminis. RNAcentral's name for it is "Long range pseudoknot". Lineage: Bacteria; Pseudomonadati; Pseudomonadota; Alphaproteobacteria; Rhodobacterales; Paracoccaceae. The record is from RNAcentral.